RNAcentral lists this ribosomal RNA (451 nucleotides) under uncultured bacterium. RNAcentral describes it as "bacterial SSU rRNA". It matches the Rfam family "Bacterial small subunit ribosomal RNA", at positions 354 to 796 of the family's 1533-position model. The record is from RNAcentral.
GUGGGGAAUUGUUCGCAAUGGGCGCAAGCCUGACGACGCAACGCCGCGUGGAGGAUGAAGAAUUUCGGUUCGUAAACUCCUUUCGACCAAGAUGAAUACCCAUGGGUUUAAUACGCCUGUGGGCUGACAGUAUUGAGAGAAGAAGCCCCGGCUAACUCUGUGCCAGCAGCCGCGGUAAUACAGGGGGGGCAAGCGUUGUUCGGAAUUACUGGGCGUAAAGGGUUCGUAGGUGGCCAACUAAGUCAGACGUGAAAUCCCUCAGCUUAACUGGGGAACUGCGUCUGAUACUGGUUGGCUUGAGUGCAGGAGAGGAACGCAGAAUUCCAGGUGUAGCGGUGAAAUGCGUAGAUAUCUGGAGGAAUACCGGUGGCGAAGGCGGCGUUCUGGACUGUAACUGACACUGAGGAACGAAAGCCAGGGGAGCAAACGGGAUUAGAUACCCGGGUAGUCC